Hippocampus zosterae (dwarf seahorse) is the source of this 474-nucleotide long non-coding RNA. RefSeq lists it as uncharacterized. The transcript is spliced from 2 exons. Lineage: Eukaryota; Metazoa; Chordata; Actinopteri; Syngnathiformes; Syngnathidae. The record is from RefSeq and is a predicted model, not a curated record.
UAACGCCUUGUGGCCAGGUAGUCCAUACCCUAAAACCAACAUGUUACAUGUAAAUCCAAGAGGGGGAGGGGGGGGAAUUCAACAUUUUUCCAUUGCUCCCGAAAGAAAUGUGCCAAAAAAUUUGCAUUUAUUGAGAAGGAAGUAUUUGUUGAUGCUGGUGGAUUUCCUGUAAUAGUGUCGACCAUUCAUUUGAAGCUAAAAUAAUCUAUGCGGCAUUUAAUUAUAACUUUAAUGUUGUGAGUAGGCGGCCCGGUAGUCCAGUGGUUAGCACGUCGGCUUCACAGUGCAGAGGUACCGGGUUCGAUUCCAGCUCCGGCCUCCCUGUGUGGAGUUUGCAUGUUCUCCCCGGGCCUGCGUGGGUUUUCUCCGGGUGCUCCGGUUUCCUCCCACAUUCCAAAAACAUGCGUGGCAGGCUGAUUGAACGCUCUAAAUUGUCCCUAGGUGUGAGUGUGAGCGUGGAUGGUUGUUUGUCUA